RNAcentral lists this ribosomal RNA (371 nucleotides) under Rhizophagus intraradices. RNAcentral's name for it is "LSU rRNA". The record is from RNAcentral. Lineage: Eukaryota; Fungi; Glomeromycota; Glomeromycetes; Glomerales; Glomeraceae.
UUGAAAGGGAAACGAUUGAAGUCAGUCGUACCGGCGGGUAAUCAGCCUUUCGGGUAUGAUUCUGUGGAGCGUGAGGAGUUAAACGCCUUCAUGCCUGCAUAUUCGUGCUCUUGGGUGUAUUUGCUCGUGUAGUUGGUUAACAUCAAUUUCGGAUAUCAUAAAAUGGCUGGAGGAAUGUAGCUUCGAUUUCGAUUGAAGUGUUAUAGCCUUCGGCAGAUGUGAUGAUCGGGAUUGAGGAUUGCAACGGAUACCCUUCGGGGCUACCUGUCUGAUCUCUGAUCGUUGCUCUGGUGCCGAAAGCUUGCUUACGGUUAUCAAAGUCGAUGGUCAACAGGUUAGAACGGGUUAAAUUCGUUAAGGAUGUUGACGUA